This 400-nucleotide ribosomal RNA is filed under the name uncultured bacterium. RNAcentral's name for it is "bacterial SSU rRNA". It matches the Rfam family "Bacterial small subunit ribosomal RNA", at positions 356 to 773 of the family's 1533-position model. The record is from RNAcentral.
GGGGAAUAUUGCGCAAUGGGGGAAACCCUGACGCAGCAACGCCGCGUGGGUGAUGAAGGUCUUCGGAUUGUAAAACCCUGUCUUCUGGGACGAUAAUGACGGUACCAGAGGAGGAAGCCACGGCUAACUACGUGCCAGCAGCCGCGGUAAUACGUAGGUGGCAAGCGUUGUCCGGAUUUACUGGGCGUAAAGGAUGCGUAGGCGGAUCUUUAAGUGGGAUGUGAAAUACCCGGGCUCAACUUGGGUGCUGCAUUCCAAACUGGGGAUCUAGAGUGCAGGAGAGGUAAGUGGAAUUCCUAGUGUAGCGGUGAAAUGCGUAGAGAUUAGGAAGAACACCAGUGGCGAAGGCGACUUACUGGACUGUAACUGACGCUGAGGCAUGAAAGCGUGGGUAGCAAAC